UGAGGAAUAUUGCACAAUGGGCGAAAGCCUGAUGCAGCAACGCCGCGUGAGUGAUGAAGGCCCUCGGGUUGUUAAGCUCUGUCGGGUGGGAAGAUGUGGUCCGGCUAACAACCGGAUUGUGACGGUACCAUCAAAGGAAGCACCGGCUAACUCCGUGCCAGCAGCCGCGGUAAUACGGAGGGUGCAAGCGUUGUCCGGAUUUAUUGGGCGUAAAGCACGUGCAGGCGGCUUGGUAUGUCGAGUGUGAAAUCCCGGGGCUUAACCCCGGAACUGCGCUCGAAACUGCCAAGCUUGAGUUCGGAAGGGGGAGAUGGAAUUUCCGGUGUAGGGGUGAAAUCCGUAGAUAUCGGGAAGAAUACCGGUGGCGAAGGCGAUCUCCUGGUCCGAUACUGACGCUCAGACGUGAAAGCGUGGGUAGCAAACAGA
RNAcentral lists this ribosomal RNA (426 nucleotides) under uncultured prokaryote. RNAcentral's name for it is "bacterial SSU rRNA". It matches the Rfam family "Bacterial small subunit ribosomal RNA", at positions 355 to 776 of the family's 1533-position model. The record is from RNAcentral. RNAcentral also lists the same sequence under 1 other name.